AGCCAAAUGAAGAAAAAAAGUUCUAAGGG
This 29-nucleotide non-coding RNA is filed under the name Homo sapiens (human). The record is from RNAcentral. Lineage: Eukaryota; Metazoa; Chordata; Mammalia; Primates; Hominidae.